Molecule: ribosomal RNA, 580 nt
Filed under: uncultured bacterium
Lineage: Bacteria
Description: bacterial SSU rRNA
Rfam family: Bacterial small subunit ribosomal RNA
Source: RNAcentral
CCUACCGGAGGCAGCAGUAAGGAAUCUUGCGCAAUGGAGGAAACUCUGACGCAGCCACGCCGCGUGAAGGAAGACACCCCUAUGGNGCGUAAACUUCUUUUAUAUGGGAAGAACCCCCUGCUCUGUAGGGUCUGACGGUUCNUUUUUNAUAAGCACCGGCUAACUCCGUGCCAGCAGCCGCGGUAAUACNGAGGGUGCAAGCGUUGUCCGGAAUCACUGGGUGUAAAGGGUGUGUAGGCGGNGCAGUAAGUCAGAGGUGAAAGCCCACGGCUCAACCNNGGAAUUGCCUUUGAUACUGCUGUUCUUGAGUCCUGGAGAGGUCGCCGGGAUUCGUGGUGUAGCGGUGAAAUGCGUAGAUAUCACGAGGAACACCGGAGGUGUAGACGGGUGACUGGACAGGUACUGACGCUGAGGCACGAAAGCGUGGGGAGCAAACAGGAUUAGAUACCCUGGUAGUCCACGCCGUAAACGAUGGAUGCUCGGUGUUGCCCCGUUUCAGGGGCAGUGCCCAAGCUAACGCAUUAAGCAUCCCACCUGGGGGAGUACGCUCGCAAGAGUGAAAACUCAAAUGAAUUGACGG